CCUACGGGAGGCAGCAGUGGGGAAUAUUGCACAAUGGGCGAAACCCUGAUGCAGCAACGCCGCGUGAGUGAGGAAGUCUUUCGGUAUGUAAAGCUCUAUCAGCAGGGAAUAGAAAAGAAGGUACCUGAAAAAGAAGCCCCGGCUAACUACGUCCCCGCAGCCGCGGUAAUACGUAGGGCGCCAGCGUUAUCCGGAUUUACUGGGUGUAAAGGGAGCGUAGACGGAAAGGCAAGUCAGAAGUGAAAACCCACGGUUCAACCAGGGGACAGCUUUUGAAACUGGCGAACUAGAGUACGGGAGAGGUAAGAGGAAUUCCUAGUGGAGCGGUGAAAUGCGUAGAUAUUAGGAGGAACACCAGUGGCGAAGGCGUCUGACUGGACCGAAACUGACGUUGAGGCACGAAAGCGUGGGGAGCAAACAGGAUUAGAUACCCGAGUAGUC
This 441-nucleotide ribosomal RNA is filed under the name uncultured bacterium. RNAcentral describes it as "partial 16S ribosomal RNA". It matches the Rfam family "Bacterial small subunit ribosomal RNA", at positions 338 to 795 of the family's 1533-position model. The record is from RNAcentral.